AUUGAACGCUGGCGGCGUGCCUAACACAUGCAAGUCGAGCGGUAACAGGUGUAGCAAUACAUGCUGACGAGCGGCGGACGGGUGAGUAACGCUUGGGAAUCUGCCUAUUAGUGGGGGACAACCCGGGGAAACUCGGGCUAAUACCGCAUACGCUCUACGGAGGAAAGCCGGGGACCGCAAGGCCUGGCGCUAAUAGAUGAGCCCAAGUCGGAUUAGCUAGUUGGUAGGGUAAUGGCCUACCAAGGCGACGAUCCGUAACUGGUCUGAGAGGACGACCAGUCACACCGGAACUGAGACACGGUCCGGACUCCUACGGGAGGCAGCAGUGGGGAAUAUUGGACAAUGGGCGAAAGCCUGAUCCAGCGACGCCGCGUGGGUGAAGAAGGCCUGCGGGUUGUAAAGCCCUUUCAGUGGGGAAGAAAAGCCUCGACCUAACACGUCGGGGUCUUGACGUAACCCAUAGAAGAAGCACCGGCUAACUCUGUGCCAGCCGCCGCGGUAAC
Molecule: ribosomal RNA, 503 nt
Filed under: uncultured bacterium
Lineage: Bacteria
Description: bacterial SSU rRNA
Rfam family: Bacterial small subunit ribosomal RNA
Source: RNAcentral